GGUAGGACUACCCGCUGAACUUAAGCAUAUCAAUAAGCGGAAG
RNAcentral lists this ribosomal RNA (43 nucleotides) under Pilatotrama ljubarskyi. RNAcentral describes it as "partial 28S ribosomal RNA". The record is from RNAcentral. Lineage: Eukaryota; Fungi; Basidiomycota; Agaricomycetes; Polyporales; Polyporaceae.